Molecule: ribosomal RNA, 450 nt
Filed under: uncultured Glomeromycotina
Lineage: Eukaryota; Fungi; Glomeromycota
Description: SSU rRNA
Rfam family: Eukaryotic small subunit ribosomal RNA
Source: RNAcentral
AGCAGCCGCGGUAAUUCCAGCUCCAAUAGCGUAUAUUAAAGUUGUUGCAGUUAAAAAGCUCGUAGUUGAAUUUCGGGAUCAGAAGGUCGGUCGUGCCAAUGGUAUGCACUGGCCUUUCUGAUUCCUCCCUCUUGAUGAGCCGUAAUGUCAUUAAUUUGGUGUUGCGGGGAAUCAGGACUGUUACUUUGAAAAAAUUAGAGUGUUUAAAGCAGGCAAGCGCUUGAAUACAUUAGCAUGGAAUAAUGAAAUAGGACGUUCGAUCCUAUUUUGUUGGUUUCUAGGAUUGACGUAAUGAUUAAUAGGGAUAGUUGGGGGCAUUAGUAUUCAAUUGUCAGAGGUGAAAUUCUUGGAUUUAUUGAAGACUAACUACUGCGAAAGCAUUUGCCAAGGAUGUUUUCAUUAAUCAAGAACGAAAGUUAGGGGAUCGAAGACGAUCAGAUACCGUCGUAG